GAUGAACGCUGGCGGCGUGCCUAAUACAUGCAAGUCGAGCGAACAGACGAGGAGCUUGCUCCUUCGACGUUAGCGGCGGACGGGUGAGUAACACGUAGGUAACCUACCUAUAAGACUGGGAUAACUUCGGGAAACCGGAGCUAAUACCGGAUAAUAUUUCGAACCGCAUGGUUCGAUAGUGAAAGAUGGCAUUGCUAUCACUUAUAGAUGGACCUGCGCCGUAUUAGCUAGUUGGUAAGGUAACGGCUUACCAAGGCAACGAUACGUAGCCGACCUGAGAGGUUGAUCGGCCACACUGGAACUAGGCCACGGUCCAGACUCCUACGGGAGGCAGCAGUAGGAAAUCUUCCGCAAUGGGCGAAAGCCUGACGGAGCACCGCCGCGUGGGUGAUGAAGGUUUUCGGAUCUUAAAACUCUGUUAUUAGGGAAGACCAAUCGUGUAAGUAACUGUGCACGUCUUGACGGUACCUAAUCAGAAAGCCACGGCUAACUACGUG
Molecule: ribosomal RNA, 497 nt
Filed under: uncultured bacterium
Lineage: Bacteria
Description: partial 16S ribosomal RNA
Rfam family: Bacterial small subunit ribosomal RNA
Source: RNAcentral